RNAcentral lists this ribosomal RNA (492 nucleotides) under uncultured bacterium. RNAcentral describes it as "partial 16S ribosomal RNA". It matches the Rfam family "Bacterial small subunit ribosomal RNA", at positions 29 to 507 of the family's 1533-position model. The record is from RNAcentral.
AGUGAACGCUGGCGGUAGGCCUAACACAUGCAAGUCGAACGGCAGCACAGUAAGAGCUUGCUCUUACGGGUGGCGAGUGGCGGACGGGUGAGGAAUACAUCGGAAUCUACUUUUUCGUGGGGGAUAACGUAGGGAAACUUACGCUAAUACCGCAUACGACCUACGGGUGAAAGCAGGGGAUCUUCGGACCUUGCGCGAUUGAAUGAGCCGAUGUCGGAUUAGCUAGUUGGCGGGGUAAAGGCCCACCAAGGCGACGAUCCGUAGCUGGUCUGAGAGGAUGAUCAGCCACACUGGAACUGAGACACGGUCCAGACUCCUACGGGAGGCAGCAGUGGGGAAUAUUGGACAAUGGGCGCAAGCCUGAUCCAGCCAUACCGCGUGCGUGAAGAAGGCCCUCGGGUUGUAAAGCCCUUUUGUUGGGAAAGAAAAGCAGCAGGUUAAUACCCCGCUGUUCUGACGGUACCCAAAGAAUAAGCACCGGCUAACUUCGUG